RNAcentral lists this long non-coding RNA (1071 nucleotides) under Equus caballus (horse). RNAcentral describes it as "lncRNA (ENSECAG00000055432.1)". Lineage: Eukaryota; Metazoa; Chordata; Mammalia; Perissodactyla; Equidae. The record is from RNAcentral.
AGCAGCUCAGGGUCAGCAGCCAGACCCCGUCCCAAAGCUGGCCGGGUUCCUCUCCAGGAUUCCAGGACUUCGGGCAGAGGGCAGGAGUUCAGGUCUUAGCCGCUCUCCCUCCCCCUAGAAGAGGAUAACGGCCCUCUCUCUGAGAACAUGCCAUGAGGAUCAUAUUUUAAAGUCCCAAAUCAGGACAUCAUGCUUGAUAAAAUACUUGUGGAUUGAUAGACGGGAAAAGUCCUUUAAUGGUAUACAAAUCAAGUCACUGUUGGCUACAUAUUGAAUAAAUUAUAUUUCUGGGAAAGAAUGCAAAUAAGGCAGACACUGUCCUGAAAGAUCUCAGCCAGUGGUUCUAAACGGGGGCAAUUUUGACUCCCAAGGGACAUUAGGCAAUGUUUGGAGACAUUUUUGGUUUUCCAAAUGUUAAGCUGGAGUGGGGAUGCUACUGGUCUCAGGUGGGUAGAGGUCUGGGAUGCUGCUGAACAUCCUACAGUACACAGGGCAGCCCCACAACAGAGUUAUCCAGCCCAAAGUGUGAACAGUGCUGAGGUGGAGAAACUCUAGUCUAGGCUCUCUGGUGCUGUACCUGCGGACUCCGGGGUGUCGGCUACGGCAUUGGUUUUUCGUCCUACCUACUUUAGUCCUGGCCUUGAUGCUGUUGUCAGAGGGGAGAGGCUUAGGACCCCUCAGCUCUCUGCUGCUUCCUCUUUCAUUGGCAGAUGCAAGGAGACAAUUGCCUUUGAAGCGGUGCCCCGGCACCAACUCUAAUACAGCAAGAAGCAGGCAAGGUCUUGCGUCAGUAUCUCCCAUGGAAGAGUGUCCAAAGCAGAGACCAGCUGCAGCAGGAAGGUCAUCAAAAACAAGGAAAGCUGGAGAAACUGUCACAGCCAAGAGGAGCCUAAGGAGACAUGACAACUAAAUGUAACGUGAUAUCCUGGAGGGGAUCCUGCAGCAGAAAAAGGACAUUAAGUAAAAACUAAGGAAAUCUGAAUAAAGUAUGAAUGGACUUUAGUUACUAAUAUUGUACCAAUAUUUGUCCAUCAUUUGUGACAAAUACUCCAUAUUAUUGUAAGAUAAUAA